This 253-nucleotide ribosomal RNA is filed under the name uncultured bacterium. Its description in RNAcentral is "partial 16S ribosomal RNA". It matches the Rfam family "Bacterial small subunit ribosomal RNA", at positions 524 to 776 of the family's 1533-position model. The record is from RNAcentral.
UACGUAGGGUGCAAGCGUUGUCCGGAAUUAUUGGGCGUAAAGAGCUCGUAGGCGGUUUGUUGCGUCGGCUGUGAAAUCCCGAGGCUCAACCUCGGGUCUGCAGUCGAUACGAGCAAACUAGAGUGUUGCAGGGGAGACUGGAAUUCCUGGUGUAGCGGUGAAAUGCGUAGAGAUCAUGAGGAAGACCAGUGGCGAAGGCGGGUCUCUGGACAGUUCCUGACACUGAGACACGAAGGCCAGGGGAGCAAACGGG